AUUGAACGCUGGCGGCGUGCUUAACACAUGCAAGUCGUGCGGUAACAGGCGUAGCAAUACGUGCUGACGAGCGGCGAACGGGUGCGUAAUACAUGGGAAUCUGCCUUUUAGUGGGGAAUAACCCGGCGAAAGCCGGGCUAAUGCCGCAUAAGAUCUUCGGAUGAAAGCGGGGGAGUCGUAAGACCUCGCGCUGAUAGAUGAGCCCACUGCCGGAUUAG
This 218-nucleotide ribosomal RNA is filed under the name uncultured bacterium. RNAcentral describes it as "partial 16S ribosomal RNA". It matches the Rfam family "Bacterial small subunit ribosomal RNA", at positions 30 to 244 of the family's 1533-position model. The record is from RNAcentral.